Long non-coding RNA from Passer domesticus (house sparrow), 2864 nucleotides. RefSeq lists it as uncharacterized. Lineage: Eukaryota; Metazoa; Chordata; Aves; Passeriformes; Passeridae. The transcript is spliced from 3 exons. The record is from RefSeq and is a predicted model, not a curated record.
UGUUCGCACGCUCUGCACCUUGCUCCUGCCCACUCUGCUUGUCAGCUUUCCUCAGUCCUGAAAGAUCCUUAGUGCCUGGAUUUCAUCAUCCAGCCCUGCAGGAUGCUCCCCUUUGUUCUGGGGAAGGCUGUCCCAGAUGGAGAAGAGGAGAUGGAGGUGGAUAUAGAGAUUGAUAGAGAGGAGGACAUGGAGACGGAGGGAGAAGACACUGGGGAGGAGGAGAUGGAGGUGGAGGUGGUUGUGGAAGAGGAGAUGGAAGUGGAUGUGGAAGAGUCCAUUGAGGACAUGGACAUUGAUUAAGAAGGUGCCCUGUCUCAGCUUGAAAAGAAAACAGGGGAGCUCAGGGUAUUGGAGUGGCUCUCUCCACCGCUACAGCAACAGAGAACUGUGAGAUUGAAAAUUGAAAUGAUUGCAUCCCUCAUAAAGAAAGGACGUUUUAGGGCAAUCCAAGUUACAGGAGCGGAGCCUUCCACAAUACGAUUGCCCAUUAAAAAGGACACGCUUGACUGGUAUUUGGUGAACUCUGGGGAGCUCCAGGAAGCCCUUUCAGGAGCUGGAGCUGUCGUGGAGACUGGGAAACUGCAUCCUAGUCCCCUCCAGUGGAUGACAGAAUGGGACUGGAUAACAAAGCCCAUUCGGAGUCUGUCACCAUUAAGGGGGGCUAUCACGGCCUUUACGGACGCUGGUAAAAAGUCCGAGAGAGCAGCCGUGACAUGGAAACAGCAAGGACAGUGGCGACAACAUUUGUUAGAUGCAGAUGCCAGGGACAGUCUACAGACAUUGGAACUUUUAGCUGUAGUAUAGGCAAUGAUGAAUUUAAAAGGUCCUUUGAAUAUUGUGACUGACUCCCUUUAUGUAGCAGGAGUAGCUGCCAGGGUACUAUACUGGGGGAGGGGAUAUCUUUGUGUUUCCUCUCCAACAGGACCCUUGUGGAUCCCCGUGAAGUGGACUUGAGCUGUACCAGAUGUUGAGGACCAUUGCGGCCUUGUCACCGGAGGACAAAGAGAGGGUGCACAACAAACUGACGCUGAUAUUGCGACCCUAUUUGCAGCGCCUCCAGCCCUACUCUAACGACGCGCGACGUGCCUGCGUUCAUCUUCCUGACGAUUGGAUUGAGUGGUGUCAGGACCUUACGGUAGAAGUAAAAGCCCCUCAAUCACAGCCAUGCUUGGACUGUGGGGACAAUAAAUGCGCUGCAUGGAUCGCGCUAGACUGUGGAGGCUGUAAUAAGGUGUUUUGGUUGGAGCAAUCGACCGUUCGGCAAAACUGGUGCCGGAGCUGCCGAUUCUCUUGGAACUUGCAGAACUCGUGGCAGCGAGCACUAAGGGAUUUUACAGGGCUUGAUUUGGGAGGAUCGUUAGACUUGUAUGAAGCCCCGGAGCAAAUUAUUUUGGCAUAUGUUACUUAGCAACUUAAGACCUUGUGUGAGCGAGCGGAAACAGGUAGUAGUAGCCACACUUUUACCUGGAGGGGCAGCUAAUAAGGCCAUGAAUUUGGCCAAGCAAUUAGGCUGCUGGGCCAAAGACGAACUGAAUGCCACCUCCCAGGUAUUGGACAUGCUGUCUCAAGAUGUACAAAGUGUAAAUCACGCAGUAUUGCAGAAUACAGCAGCAAUCGAUUUCUUAUUAUUAGCUCAAGGCCAUGGUUGUGAAGAAUUUGAGAGUAUGUGUUGUAUGAAUUUAUCAGAUCAUUCUGUAUCAAUAUGCUAUAGAGAUAUUGUAUGAUAGUAUUGCUAAUGCUUGUGUUACCAUGCUUGCUUAAUUGCAUACAAAGAAUAGUGAGUCAGAUGAUGAAAAGGGCUUGGAAAACAACACUUCUAGCCCAAAAAGAAAACGGGGGAAAUGUUGAGAGCUUUGUAACAAGCUGGCUCCGAGCUAAAGCUCACAGUGAGAUUAAUUUGACCAAGAUACAGAAUGAAGGGAGUUGCUAUCCCAAUUAAACUGUGUCCUUGGCCCACGGAUGAAGUAAUGCACAGACACAGGUGGUGGAGCAAAUAGCCUGGGAAAGUGGAAUAGUUAUACCAAAAACAGCACGUAGUUAGCUGAUAGCUAGUUAGCCAAUGGUGAGCUGGGAUUUUGCACUAUGCAUGAGCUAAUUAAAGGGUGUAUAAUAAUCGGUGAUUGGGGAAUAAAGACGAGACUUGUCGAUCAUCAUAUGGUGAGCAAGUCUUCCUUCUCCAUCACUCAGGGACAUUGUACCCAGGGCAUUGGAUUCUGUUGGCCAUCCACAGCCUGUCCUGUGCCUGCUUUGCUCCACACAAGCUCCAUCCCAGACCCAGCCAGGCUCAGUUCUGCUAGCAGAGUCCUGCUGCUGUGCCAGCUGUGCCAGCCUGGGGGCACAUGCAAGAGCCCUCUGUGCCUGACUGGAGUGACCGUGGCAUUUGCUAUUCUUCCAGGUGCGAAGGACAUCAUGGAGAGAGAUGCCACCUUUUGUACAUACGUUUUACACUUUGAUGUUGACUUUAGGAUAUAGGUUUUUGUGGAGAGCCUCGUAAAGGAAUGGCUCGCAGAGAAGGGACAUAGUCAGACGAAUCUGUUCAAGUUAGAGGACAUAUAGGCCGGAGGUAGCCUGAAGGACAGGGUGUCCUUGUGAGGAAGGAACAUGUGCAAGAACGUGGUAAACAGGAUGUCGAGAAGGAAGUGAGAGCCUGAUAAAAACCGCAAAAGUGCAGAAGUGCACAGUUAUGAUGCAAAUGCAAUAUAACCAAUCAUGAGCUAUGAUUUUGUACUAUGCAUGAGCUAAUUAAGAAUGGUAUAUAACCAGCUGUACAAGGCACAAUAAACGAGAUCUGCUGAUGACCAACUGGUGUCCAGUCUCCCUUCUCCGACAAUGGUGACCCCGACGUCGCCCCUGCGCUAAAGAAA